RNAcentral lists this ribosomal RNA (468 nucleotides) under uncultured bacterium. RNAcentral's name for it is "partial 16S ribosomal RNA". It matches the Rfam family "Bacterial small subunit ribosomal RNA", at positions 28 to 507 of the family's 1533-position model. The record is from RNAcentral.
GACGAACGCUGGCGGCGUGCUUAACACAUGCAAGUCGAACGGAAAGGCCCUGCUUUUGUGGGGUGCUCGAGUGGCGAACGGGUGAGUAACACGUGAGUAACCUGCCCUUGACUUUGGGAUAACUUCAGGAAACUGGGGCUAAUACCGGAUAGGAGCUCCUGCUGCAUGGUGGGGGUUGGAAAGUUUCGGCGGUUGGGGAUGGACUCGCGGCUUAUCAGCUUGUUGGUGGGGUAGUGGCUUACCAAGGCUUUGACGGGUAGCCGGCCUGAGAGGGUGACCGGCCACAUUGGGACUGAGAUACGGCACAGACUCCUACGGGAGGCAGCAGUGGGGAAUAGUGCACAAGGGGCGGAAGCCUGAUGCAGCAAAGCCGCGUGCGGGAUGACGGCCUGCGGGUUGUAAACCGCUUUCGCCUGUGACGAAGCGUGAGUGACGGUAAUGGGUAAAGAAGCACCGGCUAACUACGUG